GGAUUGUGGCUCAGUGGUAGAGCGCUCGCCCAGCACAGGAGGGACCCGGGUUCAAUCCUCAGCACCA
This 67-nucleotide transfer RNA is filed under the name Marmota monax (woodchuck). RNAcentral describes it as "tRNA.Ala". The record is from RNAcentral. Lineage: Eukaryota; Metazoa; Chordata; Mammalia; Rodentia; Sciuridae.